RNAcentral lists this ribosomal RNA (5715 nucleotides) under Triticum aestivum (bread wheat). RNAcentral describes it as "partial small subunit ribosomal RNA". Lineage: Eukaryota; Viridiplantae; Streptophyta; Magnoliopsida; Poales; Poaceae. The record is from RNAcentral.
AUGGCGAGGGCGGAGGCCAACUGGGAGCGCCUGGUGCGGGCGGCGCUCCGCGGGGACCGGAUGGGCGGCGUCUACGGGGUCCCCGCCAGCGGCAUCGCCGGGAACGUCCCCUCCUCGCUCGGCAACAACACCCACAUCGACGAGGUGCUCCGCGCCGCCGACGAGAUCCAGGACGAGGACCCCACCGUCGCCAGGAUUCUGUGUGAGCACGCAUAUGCCCUCGCCCAAAAUCUGGAUCCAAAUAGCGAAGGGAGAGGUGUGCUUCAGUUCAAGACCGGCUUAAUGUCAGUAAUCCGGCAAAAACUAGCUAAGAGGGAAGGUGGUGCUAUAGACCGAAGCCAGGAUAUAGCUAAACUGCAAGAAUUUUAUAAGCUCUACAGAGAAAGACAUAAAGUUGACGAGUUGUGUGACGACGAAAUGAAGCUGAGGGAAUCUGGUGUGUUCAGCGGUAACCUUGGAGAGCUGGAGCGCAAAACACUUAAGCGCAAAAAAGUACUUGCAACUCUCAAGGUCUUAUGGUCAGUAAUAGAGGAUAUAACAAAGGAAAUUUCCCCUGAGGAUGCAGCAAAUUUGAUUUCUGAAGAGAUGAAAAAAGUCAUGCAAAAGGAUGCGGCAAGGACAGAGGAUGUUGUGGCGUAUAAUAUCAUUCCUCUAGAUUCCUUGUCUACAACUAACCUAAUUGUCACUUUUCCAGAGGUGAGGGCAGCAAUAUCAUCUUUGCAGUACCAUAGGGAUCUGCCCAGGCUUCCGAAUACCAUUUCAGUUCCUGAUGCUAGGAAUUCUGAUAUGCUGGACCUUUUGCACUGCGUGUUUGGUUUUCAGAAAGACAAUGUGAGCAAUCAACGGGAGCACAUUGUUCACCUGUUGGCAAAUGAGCAGUCUCGAUUAGGCAAACUAUCAGGGAAUGAACCGAAAAUUGACGAGGGUGCUGUACAUGUUGUGUUUUCCAAGUCCCUGGAUAACUACAUAAAAUGGUGCAACUAUUUACCACUACGCCCUGUCUGGAAUAACAUUGAAUCAUUGACCAAAGAAAAGAAGUUGCUAUAUGUUUGUUUAUACUACUUGAUCUGGGGAGAGGCUGCCAACGUACGAUUUCUUCCAGAAGGCUUAUGCUACAUAUUUCAUCAUCUAGCAAGAGAACUAGAGGUGAUUAUGCAGAAACAGACUGCUGAGCCAGCUGGAAGCUGCAUUUCUAAUGAUGGCGUAUCAUUUCUUGACCAAGUCAUUUAUCCUCUAUAUGAAAUCGUUGCAGCUGAAGCAGGCAACAAUGACAAUGGGCGGGCAGCACAUUCUGCAUGGAGAAACUAUGAUGAUUUCAAUGAGUUCUUCUGGUCUGAGAAAUGUUUUCAGCUGGGUUGGCCGUGGAAACUGAGUAACCCAUUCUUCUCAAAGCCUAGUAGGAAAGAACAGGGCUUGAUAAGUAGGAAUCAUCAUUACGGAAAGACAUCUUUCGUGGAGCACAGAACUUUUCUGCAUCUUUACCAUAGCUUUCACCGCCUCUGGAUGUUCCUACUAUUGAUGUUUCAGGGACUUACUAUCAUUGCUUUUAACAAUGGCAGUUUUGACACAAAUACUGUAUUGGAACUUCUUAGCCUUGGCCCAACUUAUAUCAUAAUGGAAUUUAUCGAGAGUGUAUUGGACAUUCUAAUGAUGUAUGGCGCCUAUUCAACAUCUCGUGGUUCUGCAAUUACUAGAGUGAUCUGGCGAUUCUGUUGGUUUACUGCGUCUUCACUGGUCAUCUGUUACCUAUAUAUCAAGGCACUUCAAGAUGGGGUGCAAUCUGCACCUUUUAAGAUUUAUGUUGUUGUAAUCAGCGCGUAUGCGGGUUUCCAGAUAAUCAUCAGCCUACUCAUGAGUGUUCCCUGCUGCCGUGGUUUUACCAAUGCUUGCUACAGCUGGUCUUUUGUACGCCUUGCCAAGUGGAUGCAUCAGGAACACAAUUAUGUUGGAAGAGGCCUGCAUGAAAGGCCUCUAGAUUAUAUCAAAUAUGUCGCUUUCUGGCUUGUUAUUUUUGCUGCGAAAUUUUCAUUCACCUAUUUCCUCCAGAUCAAACCUCUUGUAAAACCAACAAGACUGAUAAUCAGUUUCAAAGGCUUACAGUAUCAAUGGCAUGACUUUGUCUCAAAGAAUAACCAUAAUGCGAUUACAAUCCUUGCUUUAUGGGCUCCAGUGGCCUCAAUUUAUCUUUUGGACAUCCAUGUUUUUUACACUAUCAUGUCUGCUAUUGUUGGAUUCCUCCUUGGUGCACGUGAUCGCCUGGGAGAGAUUAGAUCUGUUGAAGCAGUCCACAGGUUCUUUGAGAAGUUCCCUGAAGUAUUCAUGGAUAAACUUCAUGUUGCUGUUCCAAAAAGGAAACAACUGCUAUCAUCUGGUCAGCAAGCAGAGCUAAACAAGCUUGAUGCAUCUAGAUUCGCUCCUUUCUGGAAUGAAAUUGUGAAGAAUUUGCGGGAAGAGGACUACAUUAGUAACACUGAACUGGAUUUACUCUUGAUGCCCAAGAAUAUAGGCGGUCUUCCAAUUGUGCAGUGGCCACUUUUUUUGCUUGCCAGCAAGGUUUUUUUGGCCAAAGAUAUUGCAGUCGAUUGCAACGACUCACAAGAUGAACUCUGGCUAAGGAUCUCAAAGGACGAAUAUAUGCAAUAUGCUGUCGAGGAGUGCUUUCAUAGCAUCAAGUAUAUCCUGUCAUCUAUUCUAGAUAAAGAAGGCCAUCUCUGGGUGCAAAGGAUUUUUGAUGGUAUUCAAGAAAGCAUUUCAAAGAACAACAUCCAGAGUGAUAUUCAUUUCAGCAAAUUGCCUAAUGUCAUUGCCAAGCUUGUUGCUGUAGCGGGAAUACUGAAAGAAACGGAAUCUGCUGAUAUGAAGAAGGGGGCAGUUAAUGCGAUUCAAGAUCUAUAUGAAGUUGUUCAUCACGAAGUGCUUUUUGUUGAUUUGAGUGGUAACAUUGACGAUUGGAGUCAGAUAAAUAGAGCAAGAGCCGAAGGCCGCCUCUUCAGUAAUCUCAAGUGGCCAAAUGAACCUGGAUUGAAGGACAUGAUCAAACGAUUGCAUUCACUUCUGACCAUCAAGGAAUCAGCUGCAAAUGUUCCUAAAAACCUGGAAGCCAGCCGGAGACUGCAGUUCUUCACGAACUCUCUGUUCAUGCAAAUGCCUCUUGCAAGGCCUGUUUCAGAAAUGCUUUCCUUUAGCGUAUUUACUCCAUAUUACUCUGAGACUGUGCUUUAUAGCAUCGCCGAACUCCAAAAGAAAAAUGAAGAUGGUAUAUCUACACUGUUUUAUCUUCAGAAGAUUUAUCCAGAUGAAUGGAAGAACUUCCUUACUCGCAUCAACAGGGAUGAAAAUGCAGCAGACACUGAACUUUUUAGCAGUGCGAAUGACAUAUUAGAACUUCGGCUAUGGGCAUCUUACCGUGGGCAAACAUUAGCGCGAACAGUUCGUGGGAUGAUGUACUACAGGAAGGCCCUUAUGUUGCAAAGUUAUUUGGAGAGGAUGCAUUCUGAAGACCUCGAAUCUGCAUUUGAUAUGGCUGGUCUGGCUGACACACAUUUUGAGUACUCCCCUGAAGCACGCGCACAGGCUGAUUUGAAAUUUACGUAUGUGGUUACCUGCCAAAUAUAUGGAGUGCAGAAAGGAGAAGGGAAACCAGAAGCUGCAGAUAUAGCCCUUCUGAUGCAAAGAAAUGAAGCUCUCAGAAUUGCUUACAUCGAUGUUGUUGAGAGCGUUAAGAAUGGAAAGCCUAGCACUGAGUAUUACUCAAAGCUUGUUAAAGCUGACAUCCAUGGAAAGGACAAGGAAAUUUAUUCUGUUAAAUUGCCCGGCAAUCCAAAGCUUGGGGAGGGUAAACCCGAAAAUCAAAACCAUGCUGUAAUAUUCACUCGCGGAAAUGCCGUACAAACCAUUGAUAUGAAUCAGGAUAACUAUUUCGAGGAGGCACUCAAAAUGAGAAAUCUGCUUGAGGAAUUCUCUCAAAAUCAUGGCAAGUUCAGGCCUUCAAUUCUUGGUGUUAGAGAACAUGUCUUCACCGGAAGUGUUUCCUCCCUUGCUUCGUUUAUGUCAAAUCAGGAAACUAGUUUUGUGACAUUAGGACAGCGUGUUCUUUCUAAUCCACUGAAAGUGAGAAUGCAUUAUGGUCACCCAGACGUGUUUGAUAGAAUAUUUCAUAUUACGAGGGGUGGCAUAAGUAAGGCGUCCCGUAUCAUCAAUAUCAGCGAGGAUAUAUUUGCAGGGUUUAACUCUACUCUGCGUCAAGGGAACAUAACUCACCAUGAGUAUAUCCAGGUUGGUAAAGGAAGAGAUGUUGGGCUUAAUCAGAUCGCACUAUUUGAAGGAAAAGUUGCGGGAGGAAACGGCGAACAAGUUCUUAGCAGAGAUAUAUACAGACUUGGGCAGCUUUUUGAUUUUUUCAGGAUGUUAUCCUUCUAUGUGACUACUGUUGGGUUUUACUUCUGUACUAUGCUAACUGUACUGACAGUGUACAUAUUUCUCUAUGGUAAAACUUAUCUGGCUUUAUCUGGUGUUGGAGAAUCAAUUCAAAAUAGGGCGGAUAUACAGGGAAAUAAAGCAUUGAGCGUGGCUCUGAACACCCAGUUUCUUUUCCAGAUUGGUGUGUUUACUGCAAUUCCUAUGAUUCUAGGUUUCAUCCUGGAAGAAGGUGUCCUGACGGCUUUUGUUAGCUUCAUUACUAUGCAGUUCCAACUAUGCUCUGUAUUUUUCACGUUCUCUCUUGGAACAAGGACUCACUAUUUUGGUCGCACAAUACUGCAUGGAGGUGCAAAGUAUAGAGCAACUGGUAGGGGUUUUGUGGUACGGCAUAUUAAGUUUGCUGAGAAUUACCGUCUUUAUUCCCGAAGCCAUUUUGUGAAAGGGCUGGAGGUUGCACUUCUGUUGGUUAUCUUUCUAGCUUAUGGUUUUAACAACAGUGGAGCAAUUGGCUAUAUCUUACUUUCCAUAAGUAGCUGGUUUAUGGCUCUUUCUUGGCUUUUUGCUCCAUAUGUAUUCAACCCUUCUGGAUUUGAAUGGCAAAAGGUCGUCGAGGAUUUCAGAGACUGGACAAACUGGCUUUUUUACCGAGGUGGUAUUGGGGUUAAAGGAGAAGAAAGCUGGGAAGCUUGGUGGGAUGAAGAACUGGCACAUAUUCACACCUUCCGCGGGAGGAUACUGGAAACUAUACUUAGUUUAAGAUUUUUUAUUUUCCAGUAUGGAGUUGUUUACCACAUGCAUGCAGCCAAAGAAAGUACAACAUUAUCGGUAUAUUGGGUUUCAUGGGCAGUGCUUGGAGGGCUUUUUGUCCUCCUAAUGGUAUUUAGUUUAAACCCCAAGGCCAUGGUUCAUUUCCAGUUGCUCCUGCGUCUGGUCAAAAGCAUUGCACUGUUAGUGGUUUUGGCAGGUUUGGUUGUGGCAAUUGCGAUGACACCCCUCACUGUUUUAGAUGUACUUGCUUCCAUCCUAGCAUAUGUCCCUACUGGAUGGGGAAUUCUUUCGAUUGCUGUGGCAUGGAAACCAAUUGUGAAGAGAUUGGGUUUGUGGAAAAUAGUGCGCUCGCUGGCUCGUCUGUAUGAUGCUGGCAUGGGAAUGAUCAUUUUUGUGCCCAUAGCCAUCUGCUCCUGGUUUCCCUUCAUCUCCACCUUCCAGACACGGCUACUGUUCAACCAGGCUUUCAGCAGAGGUUUGGAGAUUUCUCUCAUCCUGGCUGGCAACAAUCAGAAUGCAGGCAUAUGA